Gossypium arboreum is the source of this 274-nucleotide long non-coding RNA. RefSeq lists it as uncharacterized. The record is from RefSeq and is a predicted model, not a curated record. The transcript is spliced from 2 exons. NCBI's taxonomy places the organism in Eukaryota, Viridiplantae, Streptophyta, Magnoliopsida, Malvales, Malvaceae.
UUUUUUUUGCUGGAAAUUUUUUUCUGGAAAUUUUUUUUGGUGCUGGAAUUUUUUGCUGGAUUUUUUUUUUUGCUUCCCCUCUUUUAUCUCUUCCUCCUUUCUUCAGUUAAGGUUUCAACACCCAUCAUCACCGGCGAUUCACCGUGCCGAACGGAAAGGGGAGCGGCCACGGGGUAGAUCCGGGCAUGGGCAUGGACAAUGGGGUGUGUGAUGGUGCUGGCGGCAGACAGCAUGGGAGAGUGGGAGUGGUGCUGGUGGCAGACAGCAUGGGAGA